This 48-nucleotide non-coding RNA is filed under the name Schistosoma mansoni. Lineage: Eukaryota; Metazoa; Platyhelminthes; Trematoda; Strigeidida; Schistosomatidae. The record is from RNAcentral.
AUCCAGCUGAUGAGUCCCAAAUUGGACGAAACGUGCAUCAAACUGGAU